CCGCCCGCCCGCCUGCUGCCUGCCCGCCCGCCUGCUGCCCGCCCGCCGCUUCCGGGGGCGGCGCUUCACAGGCCGAGCAGAGCGGACCGGGCCGCCUAGCGACCGAAUGGGGCAGCGACGGGCCGGGCCGGCUUUUCAGAAGCAGCAGCGAGCCACCAGAAAGAAGAGACAUGUUUGGUGCUCAGGCAGUGCCCAGCAAUGCACGGUGUGGAAUGGUGCCCUUCUCUUGCUGUCUUGUUAAACCAAGCACAGGCUAAUCCCUCAGCUGUGCUCUUAGAGGUACUGGCUACGCGGCAGGAAGAAGCAACCUGACUUCAUCAGGCAGAAGAGGUUACUGGGAAAGCCAGUGUAUCAUCUUGGGCUGUGAGAGCAAGUGGAGCUGGAACUCACACCUUAACUAAGCACAUAACCAAUGACUCCUGUAGUCACCCUGCCAUCAGAAAAUGCUGCCUUUGUAGCAGAAGAGCAUCAUGGCAGGGGGACAAUGCAACAGACAAGCUCAUACACAGAAUUGGCCGUAUUAUGUGGUGUCCACACAGAGCAAUCAGCAGGGACCCUACAGAUUGACUCUUAUCUGCAGCCUUUACUGGGAGAAGACAUUAAUAGGACAUCUAUGUCAGGCUACAAUUGGCCAAGGGAUGAAGGAGUCACUGGGAGCGAGAGAGAAGAUAAGGACACAGAAAACCAGCAGUGCAGCACAGGCUGCAAAAUCAUGGAGGACUUGAGAAGGGUGAACAGAAGCCAAUUUCACCAACUCUUUUAGGAUGAGAACUCACAAGAAGAGCCUAUUGCAAGCAAACGGCUACAGAUUCAAGGAAUUCACCUACUUGAAGACAGCCAGAAAGUGGAAAAUUAGCAAGGAUAAGCAUCAUAUGAGGAAAUGUUACGUGAAUUCUUGGUUUGAACAAGUCCACCUGCUCUCAGUAUGGAAGUCUCCCUGUGGGAUGCCUGCUGAAAGUUCUUCACUUUGACUUGCCGUGAGAUGAGGUUGGAGCAGACCCCACGUCUCUGCAAUAUACAGUCCACUGGUGUUUGCUUCACGUUGACAUCUUUUCUUCUUAGGUAGAAGUUCUGUUUUGAAAGGCAGUUCUGGUGACUCUGAUUUACAAUGACAGCAGCUUCAGUGGCAUUUAAAGAGUCUGGAAGGAAGAAAUAAAUAAGCGUGAAGAUUUCUUAAUAAAGCAAAGGGAAAAG
Molecule: non-coding RNA, 1194 nt
Organism: Coturnix japonica (Japanese quail)
Lineage: Eukaryota; Metazoa; Chordata; Aves; Galliformes; Phasianidae
Source: RefSeq, a predicted model, not a curated record